UUGCUUCAGCAGCCCAUAUACUAAAAUUGGAACGAUACAGAGAAGAUUAGCAUGACCUAUGCCCAAGGAUGACACACAAAUUCAUGAAUUGUUACAUAUUUUU
Molecule: small nuclear RNA, 103 nt
Organism: Callorhinus ursinus (northern fur seal)
Lineage: Eukaryota; Metazoa; Chordata; Mammalia; Carnivora; Otariidae
Source: RefSeq, a predicted model, not a curated record